ACUCCGGUUGAUCCUGCCGGACCCGACCGCUAUCGGGGUGGGACUAAGCCAUGGGAGUCGUGGGCCCCCGGGUACGCGGGGGCCCGGCGGACGGCUGAGUAACACGUGGCCAACCUACCCUCGGGACGGGGAUAACCCCGGGAAACUGGGGCUAAUCCCCGAUAGGCGAGGGGGCCUGGAACGGGUCCCUCGCCGAAAGGGUGCGGGGGGCAUCCUCCCCCGCGCCGCCCGAGGAUGGGGCUGCGGCCCAUCAGGUAGUUGGCGGGGUAACGGCCCGCCAAGCCGACGACGGGUAGGGGCCGUGGGAGCGGGAGCCCCCAGAUGGGCACUGAGACAAGGGCCCAGGCCCUACGGGGCGCACCAGGCGCGAAACCUCCGCAAUGCGGGCAACCGUGACGGGGUCACCCCGAGUGCCCCCUUGCGGGGGCUGUUCCCCGCUGUAGAAAGGCGGGGGAGUAAGCGGGGGGCAAGUCUGGUGUCAGCCGCCGCGGUAAUACCAGCCCCGCGAGCGGUCGGGACGAUUAUUGGGCCUAAAGCGCCCGUAGCCGGCCCGGCAAGUCCCCCCCUAAAGCCCCGGGCUCAACCCGGGGAGUGGGGGGGAUACUGCCGGGCUAGGGGGCGGGAGAGGCCGAGGGUACUCCCGGGGUAGGGGCGAAAUCCUAUAAUCCCGGGAGGACCACCAGUGGCGAAGGCGCUCGGCUGGAACGCGCCCGACGGUGAGGGGCGCAAGCCGGGGGAGCAAACCGGAUUAGAUACCCGGGUAGUCCCGGCUGUAAACGAUGCGGGCUAGGUGUUGGGCGGGCUUUGAGCCCGCCCAGUGCCGCAGGGAAGCCGUUAAGCCCGCCGCCUGGGGAGUACGGCCGCAAGGCUGAAACUUAAAGGAAUUGGCGGGGGAGCACCACAAGGGGUGGAGCCUGCGGCUUAAUUGGAGUCAACGCCGGGAACCUUACCGGGGGCGACAGCAGGAUGACGGCCAGGCUGACGACCUUGCCCGACGCGCUGAGAGGAGGUGCAUGGCCGUCGCCAGCUCGUGCCGUGAGGUGUCCGGUUAAGUCCGGCAACGAGCGAGACCCCCACCCCUAGUUGCUACCCCGGGGGCCACCCCGGGGGCACACUAGGGGGACUGCCGCCGUCCAAGGCGGAGGAAGGAGGGGGCCACGGCAGGUCAGCAUGCCCCGAAUCCCCCGGGCUGCACGCGGGCUACAAUGGCGGGGACAGCGGGACCCGACCCCGAAAGGGGGAGGCAAUCCCUUAAACCCCGCCGCAGUUGGGAUCGAGGGCUGCAACUCGCCCUCGUGAACGAGGAAUCCCUAGUAACCGCGCGUUAGCAUCGCGCGGUGAAUACGUCCCUGCUCCUUGCACACACCGCCCGUCGCUCCACCCGAGCGGGGGAGGGGCGAGGCCCGGCCCCCCGGGGGUAAGCCCCGGGAUGGGCCGGUGAAGCUCGAGACGAGGAGAGUGGAUGGCUCCCCGGGGACCCAGUCCCCCGGGGGGUCGGGCCGAGCCCCUCCCCCCGCGAGGGGGGAGAAGUCGUAACAAGGUAGCCGUAGGGGAACCUGCGGCUGGAUCACCUCCU
Pyrolobus fumarii 1A is the source of this 1576-nucleotide ribosomal RNA. It matches the Rfam family "Archaeal small subunit ribosomal RNA". NCBI's taxonomy places the organism in Archaea, Thermoproteati, Thermoproteota, Thermoprotei, Desulfurococcales, Pyrodictiaceae. The record is from Rfam.